Molecule: long non-coding RNA, 1173 nt
Filed under: Aedes aegypti (yellow fever mosquito)
Lineage: Eukaryota; Metazoa; Arthropoda; Insecta; Diptera; Culicidae
Description: uncharacterized LOC125505918 (LOC125505918)
Source: RNAcentral
CUUUAUUUUUAUUUUGUUUCAUGCAAUGAAGGUUUUUUUUUCUAAGACCAACACGUUAAUGUUUCCAGUGGACGGUUAUGUUCUUUGAAGGAAGCACCACACCAGACAACGUACAAGCAUGCAACGCCCAAUGGCACAGUCGGAAAACCUUUCUCACGAAAAGUUUUUCAGACUGAAGCGAGACUCAAACCCACAUUUUUGUCACGAUGCGACCAAAUACCUGGCGAGCCGCACCGCCACAAAGCCCACAGUUUGGCUAAAAAUUAUAAUUUUAACGUCUAAAAUUAACAAAUAGCCAUAACUUCUCCAAUCUACAUGUAGUAGUUCGAGUGGAAGUCUUUUACUUGAAUAGCGUUCGAACCACCAUGUCAUUUAUUUCACUUGUUUUGAAAUGAGCUAAAUAUCUUAAAAAUAGCUUUUUGACCACAUUUUAUUUUCGAAAAAUCACAAGAAAACAAAUUACAAUAUCCAUUCACAAUGGCGUAAUUCCCAUCCAUGUUUCGAUGAUGGCGGAGUAUCUCCUUCUCCAAGCAGCUGUUUAAUGGCUGGGGUUUUCGUGUCUGUAAAAACUCUGCCUUCGUAUUUGGUAUCGCCGACCAAUAUUUCAUCAGCCUGUAGAAGCUCGUUCAGGACGUAAUUGCGAAUUUUAGUCGCCAAGCCACCGCCACCGAUUAUAAAAUACCACAAGCUCUUAGCGGUCAGCUCUGGCUUGGCAACAACGACUCGAUCAAACUGAUUCGGUCGGUGUUUUCUUGUGGGAACCAAAAACUCCAAUGUGAGAAUAUUUUGUAUCACAUACGGAACGUCCCCCGUACCGUUCUUCCAUGGAUAGUACAGCUUCCAGUAAGCAGUGUGUUUGAUUCUCAGUGUGCUAACCAGCGUUCCGGAAGGGGGUCUAUAUUUGUCAACAUAAGCCAAGUGACCUCCGUCCUCCAUCUUGUUGCCUAAAUACAGAGUUCCAUAGUUUUCUGUACUUUUCAUUCGAACACAGGCCGCACCUGUUUCAAAAUACGGUUGCACAACUAAUACUGCAGCUCUGCUACAAGGACAAUCGCAAAAGUUAACAGCAGAUGUAAUUGUUGCUACUAUUAGUAAUAAAACUGUUAGGAAUAUUUGCUUUAGAACACACAUCGUGCAAUGCCAAUAGUUCAAAUGGAAUCUUUGCAAGCCGUG